RNAcentral lists this signal recognition particle RNA (269 nucleotides) under Candidatus Zixiibacteriota bacterium. RNAcentral's name for it is "signal recognition particle sRNA large type". It matches the Rfam family "Bacterial large signal recognition particle RNA". From Rfam's summary of the family: The signal recognition particle (SRP) is a universally conserved ribonucleoprotein involved in the co-translational targeting of proteins to membranes. Archaeal SRP consists of a 7S RNA and homologues of the eukaryotic SRP19 and SRP54 proteins. In most bacteria, the SRP consists of a 4.5S RNA and the Ffh protein (a homologue of the eukaryotic SRP54 protein). Lineage: Bacteria; Pseudomonadati; Candidatus Zixiibacteriota. The record is from RNAcentral.
CCGCGCUAAGCGGGGGGGUGCCGGUCCCCUGUACCCGAAACCCGGCAUAUGCGGGGCUGAAUUCCCGUUUUGAGGUUCACCUGCUGUGGAGGUAGGGCUGUGAUGGUGGCGAUGAUGUUCGGGUCCUGCGCAAGGGACGCCUCCUGAACCCCGCCAGGCCCGGAAGGGAGCAACGGUAGGGAGGUAAGUUCCUGUGCCGCAGGGUCGCCCGAACGGAGUCACCUGACCAGCGCUCCCCACGGUAAGGGAACCGAGAAACGGGUGCGCGG